This 429-nucleotide ribosomal RNA is filed under the name Chloroflexota bacterium. Its description in RNAcentral is "Chloroflexi bacterium partial 16S ribosomal RNA". It matches the Rfam family "Bacterial small subunit ribosomal RNA", at positions 355 to 776 of the family's 1533-position model. Lineage: Bacteria; Bacillati; Chloroflexota. The record is from RNAcentral.
UGGGGAAUAUUGCACAAUGGGCGCAAGCCUGAUGCAGCCAUGCCGCGUGUACGAAGAAGGCCUUCGGGUUGUAAAGUACUUUCAGCGGGGAGGAAGGGAGUAAAGUUAAUACCUUUGCUCAUUGACGUUACCCGCAGAAGAAGCACCGGCUAACUCCGUGCCAGCAGCCGCGGUAAUACGGAGGGUGCAAGCGUUAAUCGGAAUUACUGGGCGUAAAGCGCACGCAGGCGGUUUGUUAAGUCAGAUGUGAAAUCCUCGGGCUCAACCUGGGAACUGCAUCUGAUACUGGCAAGCUUGAGUCUCGUAGAGGGGGGUAGAAUUCCAGGUGUAGCGGUGAAAUGCGUAGAGAUCUGGAGGAAUACCGGUGGCGAAGGCGGCCCCCUGGACGAAGACUGACGCUCAGGUGCGAAAGCGUGGGGAGCAAACAGG